CCAUAGGAGACGCACUUCCUAAAGCAAGUUUCACCAAUAGGAGACGCACUUCCUAAGCAAGUUUCACCAAUAGAAGACGCACUUCCUAAGUUUAUUUCACCAAUAGGAGACGCACUUCCUAAGUUUCAGUUUCACCAAUAGGAGACGCACUUCCUAAGCAAGUUUCACCAAUAGGAGACGCACUUCCUAAGCAAGUUUUCACCAAUAGGAGACGCACUUCCUAAGCAAGUUUCACCAAUAGGAGACGCACUUCCUAAGCAAGUUUCACCAAUAGGAGACGCACUUCCUAAGAUAAUUUCACCGAUAGGAGACGCACUUCCUAAGUUUAUUUCAUCAAUAGGAGACGCACUUCCUAGGUUCAGUUUCACCAAUAGGAGACGCACUUCCUGAGCAAGUUUCACCAAUAGGAGACGCACUUCCUAAGUAAGUUUCACCAAUAGGAGACGCACUUCCUAAGUAAGUUUCACCGAUAGGAGACGCACUUCCUAAGUUUAUUUCACCAAAAGGAAACCCACUUCCUAAGUCAGUUUAACCAUAGGAGACGCACUUCCUAAGUCAGUUUCACCAUAGGAGACGCACUUCCUAAGUCAGUUUCACCAUAGGAGACGCACUUCCUAAUGUUCAGUUUCACCAUAGGAGACGCACUUCCUAAAGCAAGUUUCACCAAUAGGAGACGCACUUCCUAAGCAAGUUUCACCAAUAGGAGACGCACUUCCUAAGAUAAUUUCACCGAUAGGAGACGCACUUCCUAAGUUUAUUUCACCAAUAGGAGACGCACUUCCUAGGUUCAGUUUCACCGAUAGGAGACGCACUUCCUAAGCAAGUUUCACCAAUAGGAGACGCACUUCCUAAGAAUAGUUUCACCAAUAGGAGACACACUUCCUAAGUUAAUUUCACCGAUAGGAGACGCACUUCCUAAGUUUAUUUCACCAAUAGGAGACGCACUUCCUAAGCAAGUUUCACCAGUAGGAGACGCACUUCCUAGGUUCAUUUUCACCAAUAGGAGACGCACUUCCUAAGCAAGUUUUACCCAGUAGGAGACGC
RNAcentral lists this long non-coding RNA (1044 nucleotides) under Nicotiana tabacum (common tobacco). Its description in RNAcentral is "long non-coding RNA (NTAB_LNC009329)". The record is from RNAcentral. Lineage: Eukaryota; Viridiplantae; Streptophyta; Magnoliopsida; Solanales; Solanaceae.